GCGAAAAACGGUAAAAAGCAUGUCAACAGUUGAAAGAUGUAGCACGUUGAAAUCAGUUUAUUCCUGUGCAUGAAUCCGUCAGAAAGGAAUGGCUGAACUAGACAUCCUUCCAAAAGUGAUGAGAAGAAAAAUAAUCACGAAGUGUCACGAACGAGGCUCGAGGGCGGACCCAAAUGCACGACUCCAGAGGCAAGCAGAAAAACGGCUGGUGCCAUACUCCUCUCCCAGGCGUUGCUGUGGAGAUGAACGACACCAGAUAAGGAGCGGAAAGUUACCAUCCCGGCCCAGGAUUUGACAAUGGGGUGGCAGCCGCUUCUACCAUGGACCCAUACAUAUAAAAACUGUGUGUUACUGGGCAGCUUUUGCCUUCUUCUUUGGCUAUCCUGCCAGAAGACACACGUCUCGUGUGCGGCAGACACCUAGAUAAGACCCGGACGUCUGUACUGCACAUUCCUUUGUAAUCCAUUUGCUGUUAACUUUUUCUAAUCAUUGGUCAUAUCUUCCUCGACUUGCGAACACGCAUAGGGUCCAAACUCGCAAAUCCCUACAGUAUUUUGCGUUUUCUUCAGAUUUUGUGGGGAUGCUACCAUUGAAGAAUACCAAUGAUAGCAAAACCUUAAGAAUGCGAUGUCAUCCAAAUAAGAAAGUGAGCUGCAUUUACUUUUUGGGUAAUCUCACCACCAAAGCACAAGUGGUGACCUUUAUUCAUCACUGCAUCAUUUAUUCAGCAUCAAAGUGUGACUGCAUUAAAUUUCAUUUACUGAAAAGCAAUUUAACUUAUUUUUCACUUUUAUGAGAACAAAAGAUGUUCCAAGUGUAUUUUAACUGUUUAUUUAAGGUCAUAACGGUUUUAUGAUUGCAGUCUAAAAGUGAUUUUUAAAUUUGGGGCUUUCAUCAUCUGCCUUAAAUGAAACCAAAGAACGGUUAAAGCUGCUUCUACUGCAUUUAUUUUUCCUUUUUCCAAAGUAGGAGUUCACUUCUGCAGAAAACGCCUGCAACGACAAUGUUCUUGUGGGCCACUGAAAGAGGUUACUUGACUCCAUUAGGAGCGAUGAUUUGGUUAUGACAUAAUUUAAUUAUAUUUAUAUCCUACUUAGCAAAUUGACUCCUACAUAUUUGGAAAUGCUGUCUGUGAUUAAUGGAUAUUGUGGAUCGCGCUGAGGAAGGAGCACAGGUUCAUACAUUACAGUAUGUAGUAUAAUAAAAUUUAUGAAGUUUGUUAAUGUGAUGCAGACUGCAUCAUGGUUAUAAUAUCACACAUAGGUUUACACUUUAAUAAAGGCCUCCAAAUAUACAAUCAAGAUGGAAACAAUUGUUUGGAAAUGAAUCAUCUCACCUUUGCAUUUUGUUUUAAACCAUUGUAAAAAAAAAUUUGCCUGGUUUCCCAACAUCAUUUCUGGAGUGUAACCACUUGUGUAUAAUGUUGCAACUUGAAAGGAAACAUUAAUAAAAACGUAUCCCAAAGUUA
Molecule: long non-coding RNA, 1468 nt
Organism: Syngnathoides biaculeatus (alligator pipefish)
Lineage: Eukaryota; Metazoa; Chordata; Actinopteri; Syngnathiformes; Syngnathidae
Exons: 3
Source: RefSeq, a predicted model, not a curated record